AUUGAACGCUGGCGGCAGGCCUAACACAUGCAAGUCGAGCGAGAGGCGGACGGGUGAGUAAUGUAUGGGGACUGCCCGGUAGAGGGGGAUAACUAAUGGAAAAGGUGGCUAAUACCGCAUACUAUCGGAUAACGCAUCUGUGAUUAGCUAGUAGGUUGGGUAAAGGCUCACCUAGGCGACGAUCUCUAGCUGGUCUGAGAGGAUGAUCAGCCCCACUGGUACUUAGACACGGCCCAGACUCCUACGGUGGCAGCAGUGUGGAAUAUUGCACAAUUGGCGCAAGCCUAAUGCAGCCCUGCCGCGUGUAUGAAGCAGGCCUUAGGGUUUUAAAGUACUUUCAGCGUGGCGGCGUUACCCGCAGAAGAAGCACCGGCUAACUCCGUGCCAGCAGCCGCGGUAAUAC
RNAcentral lists this ribosomal RNA (403 nucleotides) under uncultured bacterium. RNAcentral's name for it is "partial 16S ribosomal RNA". It matches the Rfam family "Bacterial small subunit ribosomal RNA", at positions 30 to 526 of the family's 1533-position model. The record is from RNAcentral.